AUGUUGUGCUGGAAAAAAGUCCAAAAAUCUCCUUCCAUGGGAAAUCUUGAAGUUUUUCCUUUUCAUUUUGAAAUGACUUUUUAUUUUGGAAUUUCACUUGGAAUGGAAAUUCUAAGAGUCUGCCAAUUCAAGUCAGCUGUGAUUCAGCUGUUACUCAUCCAUAAAAUUAAUAACUUCAUGUCUUGUUUCUUAAUUCAUAGAAGUUUAGUAUUGGUUUAUCAUUAUUCAAAUAUUAUCCAAAGCACUUUUUUCUUUCAGGAAAGAAAUAAGGAGGAGAGAACCUAUCUGAAAGACCGUGCUGAAAACCAAGAUGCUUGUUUUUCAACAGAGACCUCAGCAAGACUACAGCUCCAAAUACUUCCAUGAUGGCUGCCAACCUAGUCCUCUGAGAGGAGAAGGGCAAGAGUGAAAAAUCUCAAAAAUCGCAUGAUUCAAGCUGGGAUUCAAGCAAAAACUUGUAACUCAUAAAGAACCUGUGAGCACUGGCAGUGACUGAAACAAGUCCAGAGCACGAGUUAGUGAUGUUUACAUCAUUUCCCACUUUGGACUUUUAUAUGUUGAGGUACAUUUUUUGUUAGUGCAACAGAGCAGCUAGUAAGAAACUUGGCAUUUCUGUGUCAUUAGGCAACUGUCAUCAUAUGAGUAUUACUGAUCUUUCAGAGUAAUAACUGACUACCAACUAUUUAACCAAAAGAAAAAAAAAAUAAUAUGAUGCAAUUACAGGUUAAGGUUUGAUCCCUAGCUGGUGGUUUGUUGCCAUACAGCAAAUGGUGUGUUUUGUAGUUGUCCCAGGUCAAUUUCCAAGCAGCAGAGAACCAUGUCUCUGGUACAACUGUGUGGCCAUAAAACCUUCCUGCAGCCUCUCCAGCACGGAGAAUGAAGCAGAAGAUGUACUGCAGCCUGGGACACUCUUUUCUAUAGAUAAUUUCUCUGCUAGGUUCAAAGCCGACAGUGAACUCCAGUUCCUUUUCAUGCUGUUUCCGUGUAGCAGGCCCCUGACUGCAGAUGAGGGCUCUCCCUGCCUUCUCCGAGGCGAGACCAUGAUGCUGGGGAGAUGAGUGGCACUUUCUCCACUCAUACCUAUGCUCCUGAGGCAGGGUGUUUAGCCCUGCUGUUCCACCGUGUAAUGAUUCAGGACUGCACCAGUAAAUGGAAGGGAAGGUUAAUCAUCCUCCUGGAAAGCCAGCAGUUUUAGUCACGGUGCAAAAACACCCGUGACAGCUGUCCUCUCUUUUACCCAAACCCAGAAAGAAGGGGUUACAAGGCUGAAGAGAUCCCAGACAGUGAUCUACAGCUCUGGCCUUCCUGAAAUGUAUUCCUCUGCAGCAUCUGUAAGCGGUAAGUCAUCCGUGUAGUCCUCACGGGUGUGUGACACAUCCCUGAGCCAUGGCUUUUCUCCUCUGGAAUAAGGCCGUGUUUUAACAUGGCACUGAGCACUUUAUACUCAACAUCAGCACGCGGGUCUAAAUAAAACGAUUUCUUAUCAUCUGUCCUGUUUUUAU
This 1502-nucleotide long non-coding RNA is filed under the name Anser cygnoides (Swan goose). RNAcentral's name for it is "lncRNA (ENSACDG00005017690.1)". The record is from RNAcentral. Lineage: Eukaryota; Metazoa; Chordata; Aves; Anseriformes; Anatidae.